This 700-nucleotide long non-coding RNA is filed under the name Brachypodium distachyon (stiff brome). RNAcentral's name for it is "long non-coding RNA (BDIS_LNC005222)". Lineage: Eukaryota; Viridiplantae; Streptophyta; Magnoliopsida; Poales; Poaceae. The record is from RNAcentral.
GGAUCUAGAUGGUCAGCGGUCAGCAAGUACUGGUGCCUGACGUCGGAUUUCUAACGUCGAAUGACGAAUCUCAGUACAGUACCUCUAGCGAUUUUGGUCUUUGUCGGGGUUGCAUACCAAGAAUCGAAAUUUGCGUCCUUGCAGCGAUCAAAAUAUCAAAUGGGUUACCUUACUCAUUCACCUUCCAGAAUGACUAGGUUCUAGUCAAACCGACAACAACAGAUUCUUUACCAUACACACAACCAUGAAGCUAUCUGUUUCCAAUUAUUGACUGUGCAUUUAGCCUAGAUUUUGUAACUUGGCAAAAAAAAAUCAUACAUUUUACUUUUAUUAUGGAGUACGUCAAAAUUUAAAACAAUCAUGCAAGUGAGACAUGGAAUGAAACUGAGCCUUAGAGCCUCCACGGUGUGUACCAAAUUAAGUGCCAAAUUGGGUAUAUUUCAUUUUUGGCAUCGUUUCAUGCCAUUAUAGUGCCAAAUGAAAAAAAAAAUGAAACCGGAACAACUUCCCGCUUAGGUGCUAAAUAUCUCCAUGUAAUAGAAAAACGAUAUUCAACAUGCACCUUUCUGAUUGCCUUCUCUCUCAGUACACCUUCUGCGGUGUGACUUGUAAGAGAGAUGAAGUAGGAAAGGGAAUAGAGUUUUUUAUGUAAGCUUUAACAACGGUGGGCCCCAUGCAUGCAGAGAUUUGGCUUUGGCAU